RNAcentral lists this ribosomal RNA (1224 nucleotides) under Triticum aestivum (bread wheat). RNAcentral's name for it is "partial small subunit ribosomal RNA". The record is from RNAcentral. Lineage: Eukaryota; Viridiplantae; Streptophyta; Magnoliopsida; Poales; Poaceae.
GCGGAGGAAGUUCGAAAAGCUAUGUUCUCAAUUGGUGACUUCAAGGCCCCAGGGCCGGAUGGGCUGCAUGCAGUAUUCUAUAAGCGGUUUUGGCCAAUGUUAGGAGAUGAUCUGGUGAUGUAAGUAUUAACAGCAGCGAAUACACAAGUAAUGCCUCUGGGGUGGAAUGACACUACCAUUGUUAUGAUCCCAAAGCUAAAUUCACCGGAGAAAGUUACACAAUUCAGAUCCAUUAGCUUAUGUAAUGUUGUUUAUAAAACUAUCUCCAAGAUGAUUGCAACAAGAUUGAAAGGUUUAUUGCCUGAAAUUCUUAGCCCCAUGCAGAGUGCUUUCGUCCCUGGAAGGUUGAUUACUGAUAAUGUGCUGAUAGCAUAUGAGAGUCUCCACGCAAUCAAACAAAAAAGGAAAGGCAAGGAGGGGUGGUGUGAAGUCAAAUUGGAUAUGCACAAGGCAUAUGACAGAGUUGAGUGGGUCUUUUUGGAAGCUAUUUUGCUAAAACUAGGGUUUAAGGCUGAAUGGGUUAAAAUGAUCAUGGUUUGUGUCUCUACGGUGGAGUAUAGAGUAAGAUACAAUUCAGUGGAAACAGAGAUAAUCAAACCCUCGAGGGGGCUGCAGCAGGGAGAUCCAUUGUCGCCUUAUUUAUUCCUCCUCUGUACAGAAGGAUUAACAACCCUACUUAAUCAUGCAGAUAAGACGAGUGAUUUGGUGGGGCUGAAAGUAUGCAGAGAUGCACCAGCUAUCACAAACCUGUUAUUUGCAGACGAUUCUUCAAUUCCGAUGAGAGCAAAUGAGAAAAACGCAAUAUCACUGAAAGUUGUUCUGGAUUCGUAUUAUGGGGCGUCAGGUCAGCUUGUGAGCAUGGACAAAUCCAACAUUUUCUUUAGUCCAAGUACAGAUGUAGGUGCUAAGGCCUUGGUGUGCUCAACACUGAAUAUCAUGACAAAAGCUAUAAAUGAUAAGUAUCUGGGCUUGCCAGCUACGUUGGGGUUGGACAAGACUGAUAGUUUUCAGUACUUGGUGGAUCGGUUGAUCUUGAAACUGACUGGAUGGAAGGAAAAAAGCUUGUCUUCUGGAGGUAAAGAGGUGCUUAUUAAAUCUGUAGCACAAGCCAUACCAACCUAUGCGAUGUCGGUCUUCAAAAUUCCUAAGAAAAUUUGCAAAGGAAUUACAGAUGUGAUAGCUAGGUUCUGGUGGGGUGAUGAUGCAUCACACAAGAGAAUGCAC